Molecule: unclassified non-coding RNA, 233 nt
Filed under: plant metagenome
Description: partial contains small subunit ribosomal RNA, internal transcribed spacer 1, and 5.8S ribosomal RNA
Source: RNAcentral
UUUCCGUAGGUGAACCGGCGGAAGGAUCAUUAUUGGAUUUUGAAACUUCAGGCUGCUGCUGGCUCUCCUCGGAGGGCAUGUGCACGCUUGUUGUCCAUUAUUUCUCCCACUGUGCACAAAUUGUAGACCUUUCAGUAGGCCUAUGUUGUUUUUCACAAUCUCUGAAUGUAAUAGAAUGGUUUUGAAUCUUGGGAAAUACAAUACAACUUUCAGCAACGGAUCUCUUGGCUCUC